Molecule: transfer RNA, 70 nt
Filed under: Loxodonta africana (African savanna elephant)
Lineage: Eukaryota; Metazoa; Chordata; Mammalia; Proboscidea; Elephantidae
Rfam family: tRNA
About the family: Transfer RNA (tRNA) molecules are approximately 80 nucleotides in length.
Source: Rfam by way of RNAcentral
CCCUGAGUGGUAGAGUUAAUACGUUUAGCUGCUGACUAAAAGGCUGGAGGUUCAAGUCCACCCGGAGGCA